This 69-nucleotide transfer RNA is filed under the name Apogonichthyoides taeniatus (twobelt cardinal). RNAcentral describes it as "tRNA-Tyr". It matches the Rfam family "tRNA". Rfam says of the family: Transfer RNA (tRNA) molecules are approximately 80 nucleotides in length. Their secondary structure includes four short double-helical elements and three loops (D, anti-codon, and T loops). Further hydrogen bonds mediate the characteristic L-shaped molecular structure. tRNAs have two regions of fundamental functional importance: the anti-codon, which is responsible for specific mRNA codon recognition, and the 3' end, to which the tRNAs corresponding amino acid is attached (by aminoacyl-tRNA synthetases). tRNAs cope with the degeneracy of the genetic code in two manners: having more than one tRNA (with a specific anti-codon) for a particular amino acid; and 'wobble' base-pairing, i.e. permitting non-standard base-pairing at the 3rd anti-codon position. Lineage: Eukaryota; Metazoa; Chordata; Actinopteri; Kurtiformes; Apogonidae. The record is from RNAcentral.
GGUGAGGUGGCUGAGGAAAGGCGGUGGAUUGUAAUCCCAAGUACAGAGGUUCAAGCCCUCUUCUCACCA